GUGCCAGCAGCCGCGGUAAAACGUAGGUACCGAGCGUUAUCCGGAUUUACUGGGCGUAAAGCGCGUUCAGGCGGCUGCGCAAGUCGGGCAUGAAAUCUCUCGGCUCAACCGGGAGAGGAUGUCCGAUACUGCGCGGCUGGAGGGCAGUAGAGGGUGGUGGAAUUCCGGGUGUAGUGGUGAAAUGCGUAGAUAUCCGGAGGAACACCAGUGGCGAAAGCGGCCACCUGGACUGCACCUGACGCUGAAACGCGAAAGCUAGGGGAGCGAACGGGAUUAGAAACCCGAGUAGUCC
Molecule: ribosomal RNA, 292 nt
Filed under: uncultured bacterium
Lineage: Bacteria
Description: partial 16S ribosomal RNA
Rfam family: Bacterial small subunit ribosomal RNA
Source: RNAcentral